RNAcentral lists this ribosomal RNA (1488 nucleotides) under uncultured Bordetella sp. Its description in RNAcentral is "partial 16S-23S ribosomal RNA intergenic spacer". It matches the Rfam family "Bacterial small subunit ribosomal RNA". Lineage: Bacteria; Pseudomonadati; Pseudomonadota; Betaproteobacteria; Burkholderiales; Alcaligenaceae. The record is from RNAcentral.
GGUUCGAUCAUGGCUCAGAUUGAACGCUGGCGGGAUGCUUUACACAUGCAAGUCGAACGGCAGCCUGGACUUCGGUCUGGUGGCGAGUGGCGAACGGGUGAGUAAUGUAUCGGAACGUGCCUAGUAGCGGGGGAUAACUACGCGAAAGCGUAGCUAAUACCGCAUACGCCCUUCGAGGGAAAGCGGGGGACCUUCGGGCCUCGCACUAUUAGAGCGGCCGAUAUCGGAUUAGCUAGUUGGUGGGAGUAACGGCUCACCAAGGCGACGAUCCGUAGCUGGUUUGAGAGGACGACCAGCCACACUGGGACUGAGACACGGCCCAGACUCCUACGGGAGGCAGCAGUGGGGAAUUUUGGACAAUGGGGGAAACCUGAUCCAGCCAUCCCGCGUGUACGAUGAAGGCCUUCGGGUUGUAAAGCACUUUUUGGCAGGAAAGAAACGGCACGGGAUAAUACCCCGUGCAACUGGCGGUACCUGCAGAAUAAGCACCGGCUAACUACGUGCCAGCAGCCGCGGUAAUACGUAGGGUGCAAGCGUUAAUCGGAAUUACUGGGCGUAAAGCGUGCGCAGGCGGUGGUUCGGAAGAAAGAUGUGAAAUCCCAGAGCUUAACUUUGGAACUGCAUUUUUAACUACCGAGCUAGAGUGUCAGAGGGAGGUGGAAUUCCGCGAUAUUAGCAGUGAAAUGCGUAGAUAUGCGGAGGAACACCGAUAGCGAAAGGCAGCCUCCUGGGAUAACACUGACGCUCAUGCACGAAAGCGAUGAGGAGCAAACAGGAUUAGAUACCCUGGUAGUCCACGCCUAAACGAUGUCAACUAGCUGUUGGGGCCUUCGGGCCUUGGUAGCGCAGCUAACGCGUGAAGUUGACCGCCUGGGAGUACGGUCGCAAGAUUAAAACUCAAAGGAAUUGACGGGGACCCGCACAAGCGGUGGAUGAUGUGGAUUAAUUCGAUGCAACGCGAAAAACCUUACCUACCCUUGACAUGUCUGGAAUCCCGAAGAGAUUUGGGAGUGCUCGCAAGAGAACCCGGAACACAGGUGCUGCAUGGCUGUCGUCAGCUCGUGUCGUGAGAUGUUGGGUUAAGUCCCGCAACAGGCGCAACCCUUGUCAUUAGUUGCUACGAAAGGGCGCUCUAAUGAGACUGCCGGUAACAGCCGGGAGGAAGGUGGGGAUGACGUCCAAGUCCUCAUGGCCCUUAUGGUGGGGCUUCACACGUCAUACAAUGGUCGGGACAGAGGGUCGCCAACCCGCGAGGGGGAACCAAUCCCAGAAACCCGAUCGUGAAGUCGGAUCGCAGUCUGCAACUCGGCUACGUGAAGUCGGAAUCACUGGUAAUCGCGGAUCAGCAUGUCGCGGUGAAUACGUUCGGGUCUUGUACACACCGCCCGUCACACCAUGGGAGUGGGUUUACCAAAGUAGUUGGCCUAACCGUAAGGAGGGCGAUACCACGGUAGGAUUCAUGACUGGGGUGAAGUCGUAACAAGGUAG